Molecule: ribosomal RNA, 253 nt
Filed under: uncultured bacterium
Lineage: Bacteria
Description: partial 16S ribosomal RNA
Rfam family: Bacterial small subunit ribosomal RNA
Source: RNAcentral
UACAGGGGGUGCAAACGUUGCUCGGAAUUAUUGGGCGUAAAGCGCGCGUAGGCGGCUACCUAAGUCGGAUGUGAAAGCCCCUGGCUUAACUGGGGAAGUGCACCCGAAACUGGGUAGCUAGAGUGCAAAAGAGGGUCGCGGAAUUCCCGGUGUAGCGGUGAAAUGCGUAGAGAUCGGGAGGAACAUCUGUGGCGAAGGCGGCCAUCUGGACCAGCACUGACACUGAGGCACGAAAGCGUGGGGAGCAAACAGG